RNAcentral lists this ribosomal RNA (93 nucleotides) under Cladonia metacorallifera. RNAcentral describes it as "partial 28S ribosomal RNA". It matches the Rfam family "Eukaryotic large subunit ribosomal RNA", at positions 1 to 96 of the family's 3401-position model. The record is from RNAcentral. Lineage: Eukaryota; Fungi; Ascomycota; Lecanoromycetes; Lecanorales; Cladoniaceae.
CCUCGGAUCAGGUAGGGAUACCCGCUGAACUUAAGCAUAUCAAUAAGCGGAGGAAAAGAAACCAACAGGGAUUGCCUCAGUAACGGCGAGUGA